RNAcentral lists this ribosomal RNA (465 nucleotides) under Vreelandella stevensii. RNAcentral's name for it is "partial 16S ribosomal RNA". It matches the Rfam family "Bacterial small subunit ribosomal RNA", at positions 338 to 795 of the family's 1533-position model. Lineage: Bacteria; Pseudomonadati; Pseudomonadota; Gammaproteobacteria; Oceanospirillales; Halomonadaceae. The record is from RNAcentral.
CCUACGGGGGGCUGCAGUGGGGAAUAUUGGACAAUGGGGGCAACCCUGAUCCAGCCAUGCCGCGUGUGUGAAGAAGGCCCUCGGGUUGUAAAGCACUUUCAGUGAGGAAGAACGCCUGGUGGUUAAUACCCAUCAGGAAAGACAUCACUCACAGAAGAAGCACCGGCUAACUCCGUGCCAGCAGCCGCGGUAAUACGGAGGGUGCGAGCGUUAAUCGGAAUUACUGGGCGUAAAGCGCGCGUAGGUGGCUUGAUAAGCCGGUUGUGAAAGCCCCGGGCUCAACCUGGGAACGGCAUCCGGAACUGUCAAGCUAGAGUGCAGGAGAGGAAGGUAGAAUUCCCGGUGUAGCGGUGAAAUGCGUAGAGAUCGGGAGGAAUACCAGUGGCGAAGGCGGCCUUCUGGACUGACACUGACACUGAGGUGCGAAAGCGUGGGUAGCAAACAGGAUUAGAUACCCCUGUAGUA